RNAcentral lists this ribosomal RNA (139 nucleotides) under Klebsormidium flaccidum. RNAcentral's name for it is "partial 18S ribosomal RNA". It matches the Rfam family "Eukaryotic small subunit ribosomal RNA", at positions 1694 to 1828 of the family's 1831-position model. The record is from RNAcentral. Lineage: Eukaryota; Viridiplantae; Streptophyta; Klebsormidiophyceae; Klebsormidiales; Klebsormidiaceae.
UGAUCCGGUGAAGUUUUCGGAUCGCGGCUACUCCGGCGGUCCGCCGCCGAAGAAGCUGUGAGAAGUUCAUUAAACCUUAUCAUUUAGAGGAAGGAGAAGUCGUAACAAGGUUUCCGUAGGUGAACCUGCGGAAGGAUCA